Molecule: ribosomal RNA, 501 nt
Filed under: uncultured bacterium
Lineage: Bacteria
Description: partial 16S ribosomal RNA
Rfam family: Bacterial small subunit ribosomal RNA
Source: RNAcentral
AUUGAACGCUGGCGGCAGGCUUAACACAUGCAAGUCGAGCGGAGAUGAGGUGCUUGCACCUUAUCUUAGCGGCGGACGGGUGAGUAAUGCUUAGGAAUCUGCCUAUUAGUGGGGGACAACAUUCCGAAAGGAAUGCUAAUACCGCAUACGUCCUACGAGAGAAAGCAGGGGAUCUUCGGACCUUGUGCUAAUAGAUGAGCCUAAGUCGGAUUAGCUAGUUGGGGGGGUAAAGGCCUACCAAGGCGACGAUCUGUAGCGGGUCUGGGAGGAUGAUCCGCCACACUGGGACUGAGACACGGCCCAGACUCCUACGGGAGGCAGCAGUGGGGAAUAUUGGACAAUGGGGGAAACCCUGAUCCAGCCAUGCCGCGUGUGUGAAGAAGGCCUUAUGGUUGUAAAGCACUUUAAGCGAGGAGGAGGCUACUGAGACUAAUACUCUUGGAUAGUGGACGUUACUCGCAGAAUAAGCACCGGCUAACUCUGUGCCAGCCGCCGCAGUAA